GCAUAUCAAUAAGCGGAGGAAAAGAAACCAACAGGGAUUGCCCCAGUAACGGCGAGUGAAGCGGCAACAGCUCAAAUUUGAAAUCUGGCCCCUUGGGGUCCGAGUUGUAAUUUGUAGAGGAUGCUUUUGGUGAGGUGCCGCCCGAGUUCCCUGGAACGGGACGCCACAGAGGGUGAGAGCCCCGUCUGGCUGGCCACCGAGCCUCUGUAAAGCUCCUUCGACGAGUCGAGUAGUUUGGGAAUGCUGCUCAAAAUGGGAGGUAUAUGUCUUCUAAAGCUAAAUAUUGGCCAGAGACCGAUAGCGCACAAGUAGAGUGAUCGAAAGAUGAAAAGCACCUUGAAAAGAGGGUUAAAUAGUACGUGAAAUUGUUGAAAGGGAAGCGCUUGUGACCAGACUUGGGCGCGGCGGAUCAUCCGGGGUUCUCUCCGGUGCACUUCGCCGCGUUCAGGCCAGCAUCAGUUCGUCGCGGGGGACAAAGGCUUCGGGAACGUGGCUCCUCCGGGAGUGUUAUAGCCCGUUGCAUAAUACCCUGCGGUGGACUGAGGACCGCGCAUCUGCAAGGAUGCUGGCGUAAUGGUCACCAGCGACCCGUCUUGAAACACGGACCAAGGAGUCGUCUUCGUAUGCGAGUGUUCGGGUGUCAAACCCCUACGCGUAAUGAAAGUGAACGCAGGUGAGAGCUUCGGCGCAUCAUCGACCGAUCCUGAUGUUCUCGGAUGGAUUUGAGUAAGAGCAUACGGGGCCGGACCCGAAAGAAGGUGAACUAUGCCUGUAUAGGGUGAAGCCAGAGGAAACUCUGGUGGAGGCUCGCAGCGGUUCUGACGUGCAAAUCGAUCGUCAAAUAUGGGCAUGGGGGCGAAAGACUAAUCGAACCUUCUAGUAGCUGGUUUCCGCGA
This 896-nucleotide ribosomal RNA is filed under the name Trichoderma polysporum. Its description in RNAcentral is "LSU rRNA". It matches the Rfam family "Eukaryotic large subunit ribosomal RNA", at positions 38 to 963 of the family's 3401-position model. The record is from RNAcentral. Lineage: Eukaryota; Fungi; Ascomycota; Sordariomycetes; Hypocreales; Hypocreaceae.